RNAcentral lists this ribosomal RNA (478 nucleotides) under uncultured bacterium. Its description in RNAcentral is "partial 16S ribosomal RNA". It matches the Rfam family "Bacterial small subunit ribosomal RNA", at positions 28 to 523 of the family's 1533-position model. The record is from RNAcentral.
GACGAACGCUGGCGGCGUGCUUAACACAUGCAAGUCGAACGGUAAGGCCCUUCGGGGUACACGAGUGGCGAACGGGUGAGUAACACGUGGGUGAUCUGCCCUGCACUUCGGGAUAAGCCUGGGAAACUGGGUCUAAUACCGGAUAGGACCACUGCCUGCAUGGGUGGUGGGGGAAAGCUUUUGCGGUGUGGGAUGGGCCCGCGGCCUAUCAGCUUGUUGGUGGGGUGAUGGCCUACCAAGGCGACGACGGGUGGCCGGCCUGAGAGGGUGACCGGCCACACGGGGACUGAGAUACGACCCAGACUCCUACGGGAGGCAGCAGUGGGGAAUAUUGCACAAUGGGCGCAAGCCUGAUGCAGCGACGCCGCGUGAGGGAUGACGGCCUUCGGGUUGUAAACCUCUUUCAGCACCGACGAAGCGCAAGUGACGGUAGGUGCAGAAGAAGGACCGGCCAACUACGUGCCAGCCGCCGCCGUAA